This is a long non-coding RNA of Mangifera indica (mango), 891 nucleotides long. RefSeq lists it as uncharacterized. The record is from RefSeq and is a predicted model, not a curated record. NCBI's taxonomy places the organism in Eukaryota, Viridiplantae, Streptophyta, Magnoliopsida, Sapindales, Anacardiaceae. The transcript is spliced from 5 exons.
AAAAAGCGCAGAAGAGAAGAGAGAAAAGAGAGAAAAGGAGAGAAGAAAAAAAAGGAGAAGGAAAAAGAGAAAAAAAAAAAGGGAAAGAAAAAGAAAGAAGAAGAAGGAGAAGAGGAAAUUGAUAGGAAAAUAAGGAUAAGUAUGAAUAGGUGAAGAUAGAGGAAGAUUCGUAAAGGAUUUCCAGCAUUAGUUUUGGGUCUACUCAAAUGUAUUUUAUAUCAAGUAUGACAGAUUUUCAGUUGCUCUGCCUACGUAAUAUUUCACGUCAGGUAUGACAGAUGUUAGUUGUUCUGCCUGUGCAGUAUUUUAUGCUAGUAUUUUACCCUAGGCAUGACAAAUUUCAAUUGCUCUACCCAAGCAAGAUUCAGCAUGUCAGAUAUGAUAGUUUUUUCUCGCUUUGCCUGUGUUGGGGACAUCUAUCGGGACUGUGUCGAGCAAUGACUUGCCCAAGGUUGUGCACAAUAUAACAUCUUCAGUAGGUGUCCCAAUUUGCAUACAUAUAUUUGAGUUUUCUUUGAGAAACUUAGGAAACGUUGAAGGUCGAAGGCCUAGUUAAACUAUUUUCAUGAUUUUGAAUGGAAAUCAAGAUGUAAAAUUUUUGUUAUGCAUGUGAUAAGGUUGGAGGCCUAAGUAAAAGCUUAUUUUGUGUUUUAAUUUGAAAUUAGGUUGUUAUUUUGUUGUAUAAUUAUGGUAAGGCUAGAGGCCUAGACAUGAUGUAAAAAAAAAAAAAUUAAGUGUUAUAGUUAUGUGUGUAGCAGAAUAUUUAAAAAUUUUACAGGAUGCAUCUUGAUCUCCUAAAUCCCAUAAGAGCGUUGGGUGUUAUGGGGUUAGAGAGUUGGGAUGGUUCCUAUCAACUUGGUAUCAGAGCUUAGGUUUUAGAUUCUACGGGCA